This 497-nucleotide ribosomal RNA is filed under the name uncultured bacterium. RNAcentral's name for it is "partial 16S ribosomal RNA". It matches the Rfam family "Bacterial small subunit ribosomal RNA", at positions 28 to 507 of the family's 1533-position model. The record is from RNAcentral.
GAUGAACGCUGGCGGCGUGCCUAAUACAUGCAAGUCGAGCGAACGGACGAGAAGCUUGCUUCUCUGAUGUUAGCGGCGGACGGGUGAGUAACACGUGGAUAACCUACCUAUAAGACUGGGAUAACUUCGGGAAACCGGAGCUAAUACCGGAUAAUAUUUUGAACCGCAUGGUUCAAAAGUAAAAGACGGUCUUGCUGUCACUUAUAGAUGGAUCCGCGCUGCAUUAGCUAGUUGGUAAGGUAACGGCUUACCAUGGCAACGAUGCGUAGCCGACCUGAGAGGGUGAUCGGCCACCCUGGAACUGAGACACGGUCCAGACCACUACGGGAGGCAGCAGUAGGGAAUCUUCCGCAAUGGGCGAAAGCCUGACGGAGCAACGCCGCGUGAGUGAUGAAGGUCUUCGGAUCGUAAAACUCUGUUAUUAGGGAAGAACAUAUGUGUAAGUAACUGUGCACAUCUUGACGGUACCUAAUCAGAAAGCCACGGCUAACUACGUG